AAGGUCAUGCGAAUUUACCUCAAUUUCAAAAACGACCAAAACCGGUUCAAACUUUGCUUUCAUUGCUAUGGACUUCAAAGCAAUCGUUGGACUCUCUUGAAAAGAAGAUAACAGAAGUGAAAUUGAGAGACAAGAAAGUGAGACAGAUUGGGCAAAUGGGAUCGGUGUGCGAUGUAGCCCAGAUUCAAAGCUACGUCCCCAUAGGAACCAAAGCUUUCUGCCAAGUAACCGGUUUGAUUCUACACUUGGAUUUUUGCCGGACAAUCGAAAACUACUUUACCCUGUUAAGGUCAGCCAGCAAACCAGACGUAGAGGGUUGGCCUGGUUCUGCUCGGUGAACUCAGACUGUCAUCUCCUCUCUGGGUGGUACUAAAGGUCCAGAUAUGAGUGUGUUUGCUCUGAAGACUUUUGAAGGCAGAGGUCAUCCCGCAUAAACCUUAGGAAUGCAUGGAGCGGGUCAGCGUAUGCUUUCUUCCACCUCUCUACUCGACCUGAAGGCACUCAGAAGGUCACCUUGGAAGAUUAGAUGAUGUCUUGAAAAGGUGAGCACUGACAAUGCCUGAUCCUGAGCUGUCUCUAAAACCUGCCAGAUGAUCCACUUGAUCCUAAAGAAGUGUCAGCAUUGAGAGGAUUAUGGGAUUGCUGGUGGUCACUGAGGCGUGUCUGUACGCAGUGAUCUGGGUGGUAUGAGAUGAGGGCGCGCAGGCAAAGAUCUGUUUUGCGCAACUCCAUAUGUACCAAACAUACAAUACAGCUUCUGUCCGGCACAUCUUUACAUCUUUGAAGAUCCUUUGUACCGGACAGAGAAGUUUGUUGGAAAAAUCUGACAACAUGAACUUAACAAGUGUUACUCGCCAUCUUAACGGGACAAUCAUACUGGACUCAGAUGAUGAAAAAGCUAAAGCUGUUAUUUUUGAAGACAAGUUGUUCAAAAUCGCGCUGUUAUCCCUGGCACUGUGCGUCCUGGCAGUAACCGGAAUCAUACUCUGUAUCCUAUACCACAAUAACAGGAGGAAAAGUAAACUGGCCUAUAUCAACACUGCGACUCGUGAGGUAGCUGAGGAACCGGUGGUGCUUACAGGUGCCAGAACAACCCAUAGUUUAUGUAACAAAUUUAGUAGACGGGAGCUAAAGGACAACUCGCGUAUCUACUACAUCUUCAGCAACCCUACACCUGUGGUACCCGAGGAGGACAUGGCCUCUACACACACGCUGAAAGAGUAUGACAUCACCCUGAACCCACCCAGUUUUUACAUGCAGGUCUCAAACUUCUUGUAAUGCAUCAAAUGUAAGAAACUAUUUCUUUCAUUCAGUUUAGCUGAAAUCAUAUGGUUUUUUACAAACACCAUGGUUAAUUUUUCGUAUGGGAACGUCAACAUCUUGCACAGAAUGAUAAAUGGACUGCAUUUAUAUAGCGCUUUCAUAGACCAAUGCCCAUCCAAAGCGCUUUACAAUUGAAUUUGCCUAACAUUCACACACUGACGGUGGUGAAAAAUUGGGAGCACCAUCAACCUGAUUUGUGUACAGAUAAGUAAAUCAACACGCACGACAACGUACAAUU
Non-coding RNA from Misgurnus anguillicaudatus (oriental weatherfish), 1561 nucleotides. Lineage: Eukaryota; Metazoa; Chordata; Actinopteri; Cypriniformes; Cobitidae. The record is from RefSeq and is a predicted model, not a curated record.